Molecule: long non-coding RNA, 453 nt
Filed under: Mustela putorius furo (domestic ferret)
Lineage: Eukaryota; Metazoa; Chordata; Mammalia; Carnivora; Mustelidae
Description: lncRNA (ENSMPUG00000031903.1)
Source: RNAcentral
AAAGAAUGUCCCCAUCAGAAGACAAAGGAAAAAAAAAACACCACAGGCUUUUCUAGCCUUUAUUAUCUCUCCUUUGCUCUGGGUCCCAUCAUCCUGAUGGCUCUCCGGCUUUUCAGACAGAUCUUUUUCAGAUGUCUUUCUUUGGUCUUUGAUUCUUGGCAGGACUGUCCUUGCACUUCUGUUGGACCAGUGGUUUUUGAAGAACUGAUUUAAGCAUCAGUAUUCGGGUCCUGCCGACCUGCUAUAGGAAAAGGUGCCCUGUUUUCCUAAAGCCAGCAGCAGCAGCCACUGAUGGAAAGUACCCUUCGCCUAAUGGGAGCCCAUCAAAAUUAAUGGGCAAACAGACCAGAGCAUACAGAGGCAUUCGGAUGCAAGACAGAGGGAGAUGGGAGCAGAGCUGGUUAAAAAUCCCUCCUCCUCCCGAGGGCUCCAGUGAGAAUCAGCAGGGGAACA